Molecule: ribosomal RNA, 425 nt
Filed under: uncultured bacterium
Lineage: Bacteria
Description: partial 16S ribosomal RNA
Rfam family: Bacterial small subunit ribosomal RNA
Source: RNAcentral
GUGGGGAAUCUUGCGCAAUGGGCGAAAGCCUGUCGCAGCCAUGCCGCGUGAAUGAUGAAGGUCUUAGGAUUGUAAAAUUCUUUCACCGGGGACGAUAAUGACGGUACCCGGAGAAGAAGCCCCGGCUAACUUCGUGCCAGCAGCCGCGGUAAUACGAAGGGGGCUAGCGUUGCUCGGAAUUACUGGGCGUAAAGGGCGCGUAGGCGGACAGUUUAGUCAGAGGUGAAAGCCCAGGGCUCAACCUUGGAAUUGCCUUUGAUACUGGCUGUCUUGAGUACGGGAGAGGUGAGUGGAACUCCGAGUGUAGAGGUGAAAUUCGUAGAUAUUCGGAAGAACACCAGUGGCGAAGGCGACUCACUGGCCCGUUACUGACGCUGAGGCGCGAAAGCGUGGGGAGCAAACAGGAUUAGAUACCCUAGUAGUCC